CCUGAUCCAGCAACGCCGCGUGGAGGAAGAAGGCCUUUGGUUGUAAACUCCUUUUGUGCGGGAUGAGACAAGGACAGUACCGCACGAAUAAGUCACGGCUAACUAGGUGCCAGCAGCCGCGGUAAUACCUAGGUGGCGAGCGUUAUCCGGAUUUACUGGGCGUAAAGGGCUCGAAGGCGGCAGUGCAAGUCCGGCGUGAAAUCUCUUGGCUUAACCAGGAGGGGUCGUCGGAAACUGCAUUGCUAGAGGCAGUGAGAGGGGUGCGGAAUUCUCGGUGGAGUGGUGAAAUGCGUAGAUAUCGGGAGGAACACCAGUGGCGAAGGCGGCGCCCUGGCACUGACCUGACGCUCAUGAGCGAAAGCGUGGGGAGCGAAUGGGAUUAGAUACCC
Molecule: ribosomal RNA, 389 nt
Filed under: uncultured bacterium
Lineage: Bacteria
Description: bacterial SSU rRNA
Rfam family: Bacterial small subunit ribosomal RNA
Source: RNAcentral